This 905-nucleotide unclassified non-coding RNA is filed under the name Hevea brasiliensis (rubber tree). Lineage: Eukaryota; Viridiplantae; Streptophyta; Magnoliopsida; Malpighiales; Euphorbiaceae. The record is from RNAcentral.
AACAAACCCAGGUGGUUGCUCCAUGUGGACCUCUUUGGCUAGUUUGGCGAGUUCCCCAUGUAAAAAGGCAUGCUUAAUAUCCAGUUGAUGCAGAGUCCAGUGAUGCAUUACUACUAAAGAAAUAAGUAGAACGAUUGAGGCAAUUUUAGCUACUAGAGAGAAUGUGUCACUGUAGUCAAGCCCAUAAAUCUAAGUGUAUCCUUUGGCAACAAGACAGAUUUUUAAUCGAUCAAUUUUGCCAUCACGACCCACUUUCAUAGUGUAGACCCAGUGAUAUUCAACAGUAGAUUUUCCCUCUGGUAAAGGAACCAACUCUCAAGUUUCAUUAUCAUGAAGAGUAGUCAUUUCCUCUAUCAUUGCAUUGUGCCACCAUGGAUGUUCCAAUGCCUCCCUAACAGUCUUAGGUAUGGGGAUAUUAGAUAAGGUAGAAACAAAGGUAUAAUAGGAUGGGGAUAAACAAUGAUAACUCAAACAAUUACAAAUCGGAUGUGGGUUGAGAGAUAAAUGAAUACCUUUUUGAAUGGCAAUGGAAGGAGUUGCUGCUUCUGCUAAAUGCAUUAUUGGAGUAGGUUACAAAGGAACAGAAGAGUCAUUAACAACUGUAUCAUGAAUAGUAGUGUCAUUCAUGUUAGCAAAAGUGUGUGGACGACGAGAAUAAACUCGAAAAGUUGGAGAAUGAUUGACUAGUGGAGGUGGAAGAAUAGGAAAAGGAAGAGCUUUAGAGAUGAGAUUUUUAUCUGUGGUGCUUGGGGAGAAAUAUGGGGAGGUUUCAAAGAAGGUUACAUCGGCUAAGAUAAAAUAUUUAUUUGUUGCUGGAUCAUAGCACUUGUAACCUUUCAAAAGCCUAGAGUAGCCUAAAAAGACAUACUUAACAAAUUUAGGCUGAAGUUUGUCUUUUCCAAGAG